This 493-nucleotide ribosomal RNA is filed under the name uncultured bacterium. RNAcentral's name for it is "partial 16S ribosomal RNA". It matches the Rfam family "Bacterial small subunit ribosomal RNA", at positions 28 to 507 of the family's 1533-position model. The record is from RNAcentral.
GACGAACGCUGGCGGCGUGCCUAACACAUGCAAGUUGAGCGACGAACCAGGGCUUGCCCUGGGGCAAAGCAGCGAACGGGUGAGUAACACGUGGGUAACCUACCCCGAUAACCGGGACAACCCGAGGAAACUCGGGCUAAUACCGGAUGUGCUCACUGGACUUCGGUUCAGUGCGUAAAGGAAGCUUCGGCCUCCGUAUCGGGAGGGGCCCGCGGCCCAUUAGUUUGUUGGUGAGGUAACGGCUCACCAAGACCGCGAUGGGUAGCUGGUCUGAGAGGACGAUCAGCCACACUGGGACUGAGACACGGCCCAGACUCCUACGGGAGACAGCAGUGGGGAAUCUUGCGCAAUGCGCGAAAGCGUGACGCAGCAACGCCGCGUGGGGGAAGAAGGCCUUCGGGUUGUAAACCCCUGUCAGGAGGGACGAAGGUUCGGCGGUGAAUAGCCGUCCGGACUGACGGUACCUCCACAAGAAGCCCCGGCUAACUACGUG